GACGACCUUUGGCGGCGCGCCUAACACAUGCAAGUCGAACGAGCGAGAGAGAGCUUGCUUUCUCGAGCGAGUGGCGAACGGGUGAGUAACGCGUGAGGAACCUGCCUCAAAGAGGGGGACAACAGUUGGAAACGACUGCUAAUACCGCAUAAGCCCACAGCUCGGCAUCGAGCAGAGGGAAAAGGAGCAAUCCGCUUUGAGAUGGCCUCGCGUCCGAUUAGCUAGUUGGUGAGGUAAUGGCCCACCAAGGCGACGAUCGGUAGCCGGACUGAGAGGUUGAACGGCCACAUUGGGACUGAGACACGGCCCAGACUCCUACGGGAGGCAGCAGUGGGGAAUAUUGCACAAUGGGGGAAACCCUGAUGCAGCGACGCCGCGUGGAGGAAGAAGGUCUUCGGAUUGUAAACUCCUGUUGUUGAGGAAGAUAAUGACGGUACUCAACAAGGAAGUGACGGCUAACUACGUGCCAGCAGCCGCGGUAAAACGUAGGUCACAAGCGUUGUCCGGAAUUACUGGGUGUAAAGGGAGCGCAGGCGGGAAGACAAGUUGGAAGUGAAAUCCAUGGGCUCAACCCAUGAACUGCUUUCAAAACUGUUUUUCUUGAGUAGUGCAGAGGUAGGCGGAAUUCCCGGUGUAGCGGUGGAAUGCGUAGAUAUCGGGAGGAACACCAGUGGCGAAGGCGGCCUACUGGGCACCAACUGACGCUGAGGCUCGAAAGUGUGGGUAGCAAACAGGAUUAGAUACCCUGGUAGUCCACACUGUAAAACA
RNAcentral lists this ribosomal RNA (768 nucleotides) under uncultured bacterium. RNAcentral's name for it is "bacterial SSU rRNA". It matches the Rfam family "Bacterial small subunit ribosomal RNA", at positions 28 to 809 of the family's 1533-position model. The record is from RNAcentral.